UUCUUCCCCUUCCCCUUCUGUAUCUCUUCCUCCCACGCGCCCCUCAGCCUCUUUUCUGGGCCUGGCUCUUCUAGGAAGUCUGUCUCAGGACAGUUCCCCGGGCAGACCCUGGGUGGAACCGCCCCUCCCAGUGUCCACUGAUGGCCACUGCCUGCGAGGUCCCUUCCUCCAGCAAGGUGCUGGCAACAGUGCCAUAAACAGGUUGUCACUCAUCUGCAGGCGGCCUCCUCUUUCCCUCAGCAGAUUAAGGCCUUCAUAAAAAAAGAUGGAGGGCCCUUGACUUGCGACAGGCACAUUCUGCCUUCUUGGGAAGGUGAAAGGGCAGCUUCUAGCCGGGCUCUGUGGGUAGUGCGCGGUGGGGCUGGGUCGGCAGGACAGAAGCCUGCUCCUUGUGUGGGGCCCGCUACCAAAACAGCCUGUGCAGCUGCAGAAUGACCGAGAGCCAUGUCCCAAUGUGGUGUCAUUUCCACGGACACAUGGAACUUAAAGAAUUAUAGGUACCUUGAGCUACUGGCAGGUAAAAGACAGUAAAAAAAAAAAAAUAGUGAAAGACACAAUCUACCCUCUGAACUGAUCUACAAGGCUGUGAAAGCAUCCCUUUGAAUAAUAUGCAGUAGAUAUGUUAGAAAAAUCUAAUAUUGGUGUGUGGACCCCUCAGCCUCUUUGACGAGUGUUGUAAUAUAUCUUGUUGAAUGAUGAAUAUGCUACAGUAUGUUUCAACUGUUCCUGUCUUGUGGCUGAAAGAAAAAUAUAUUGAAAAUGAAUGUAAAAUAUUGAAAUUUAGUAGUCGUUAUGCUUCACUAUAAUUUCUUGUUGCUCUGGGUGUGGCAGACACCUCCCUAAUUACACAGUGUGCACACACGCACCUGUAACAGGAGCCGUGUGAGAGUCUGAUGGGAACAGCCUGUGUUCACUUGCCACAGCCCGACAGCAUCUGAAGGUGGUGUAUGGAGAGGACCCCAGCACCCAGUCGCUCCGUGGAUUAACGGCCCUGCUGUGAGAUCCUGAACUGUUGAUGAUCAGGUGUUAUUUGAAGCAGUUCAUUUUGUGCUGUAGAGCAUUGAAAUGCCACCACCCGGAAGACCCCUCAGUCCCCCUGGGACCUCUUGCUUUUCCAGGGGGGUUUGGACCCCAGCGUCUUGAGGUUAGAGUGAUCCCUGCCAGGGAGCGGAAGACACAGUGAUCCGGGCCCCAGGCAGGCCGGAGCCACAGGCCUGAGCUCUGUCCUGGUUCAGAUUCAUAGGCCACUUUGUAAACCAACUCUGUUCCUUCCUCAGCUCUGGUCAGUCACACAUGGCCUGGCCACCUGCUGGUGGGACCAGCUCUCCAGGGCUGGGGAGUUGCCAGAGCAGCGUUCCUGGAUUCCCUAGGCUCUGCUUUCCUCUGCCUGGUCUCAGCGGGAAUGGAGAGCUGGGUCCCCAGCCUGCUUCUCAGCUGUCUGGGUGCCAGGGGCUCGGGGGACACAGAACUCCUGCCAGCCGAGCGCAAGCCUUGGGCAGAGGCAAAGUAGAGCUCCGACCGUUUCACCCCACCACACUGCCGCAGGGGUGCUUGCUCGGAGCUGGUGCUCUGGCCCUGGGAUUGCAAACCGAGCUGCCUCCUCUGAUUUGGCCAUAGUGGGCUGGGUGGAUAUACCCUGGCUUUGCCUGGACCCUCUGUCUCUUCCAGGCCUCAGCGUCCCAAGGACGACACCUGCCCAGAGCUCACUGUUCUCUCCGACUUCCUUGCCCAGCUUCUCGUUCUCUGUCUCUGCGGAGGGCCCACGGUCAUCCUGCAGAGGUGUUGCCCUGAAGGCCGCGGCAUCCCUCCCGUUCCUGCACAUACCCCUUUGCCCGUGGGAUUUUCGUGCUCUCGUGUGUCACUGUUGGUCUUUGGCUGGAUCUCGUUGAGGCCCGCUCAGGUUCAGGUGCCAUUGGGGGGGUCUGGGAGUUCUCUCUCGGAGGCCGUAUGACGUUGGUAUUCCUCGGCUCCGCCCCAGGGUCCCUCCGAUGGCACAGCAGAGCUGCAGGAAGCCCGUGUUUGUGCAGAGCCGCAGGCUGGGGGCCCGUGGCGAACACAGGCCCUAGCACGGGUCUUCGUUUCGGAGCAGUGAGCCUGAGUGGCCAGUGAGCAAUCCGUCAUCAGUGGAGAUGGAUACCCAGGAAGUGCCAUCUCUCUCUGCUUGGCGGGUGACACGUUACUGUUACAAAUGCUGCCUGUCCCUGUCACAUCACCGGAGUUUUCACCUUGAUGCCCGGGCUCCCUGAGGCAUCACGUGUUUUUAAGUGUUUCCAUUUUAGAAACACGGAAAAGGGAUCCCAGAGCCGCUUUGUUUUCCUUCUUCACCGGAAACAAACGCCUCUGUGCUUCUGCCUCCUGCAGGCCCCCACUGCCUCCAGCCUGGGUGGGUGGUCGCCAGCUGGUCCCAUCCGGCCUUCGGCCUGUCCCCUCCACCUCUCUCAGCCACCUGGGAAAAUAGCUCUCAGCUCUGAGGGGCAUUGUCUGUCCCCAGAAGAAUGACUGCUCCUCGCCUCCCACCCCUAUCCUGUGUCCGCAUCACAGACCCAGCAGAACAGACCCCACCAGAGAGCCAGUGGCCUCAUUGGCCACAACUCGUGAUGCUAGAGGGCUGUGGGUAGCCUGGCAAGUGCCACAGAGCAUCGUGGAAAUCCUGGGAGGGCUCCUGGUGAGAAAGAGCCAUCACCCUAAGAAGAUUCAAGAGCAGGAAAAUCAUGGGGUUCAGGGUUCCCCAGCAGUGGAUUGAAAAAUCCCAGCUCUGGCCAGAAGGCAGGGAAGUAGCAACCUUAUUCAAGGGGGAAAAAAACGCUCCUGGAGUCUGGAUACAGUAUCUUAGUAGUAAUAAAAGCACUGGUACAGAUUUACUGGUGUAGGAGUUUUAACUGUAAUACUGUGGAAUGGUAGGUUAUUUUGUGUUCAAGAGCUACAUUUAUCACAAAAAUGAUGAUAUACAAAUCACUUCCAUAUCACAAAAUGUUCUUGGUCAAAAUUGGCUUGAGGCAAGUGAUAUCUUCGAGUAAACAGUAUAUGAAGACCAUAUCUUAAAAUGACAGAUCACCUAAUUUUGUUCUGACAGAGGUUUUUGCCGCAACAAACAUCUGUCAUUGAAAUACCAAUUCAGAGAUAUGGAAGCCAAAUUGUAGAGGUUUUCCCGGAUUUGUCACUCCUAACUUAAGAAUGCUACUGUUUCCAUCAUAGCUUUUAUAAGAUAUUAGGCAGUGUUGCACUUUAAGGGACAUUAAAAACAAAAUAAACAAUUCAGAGAAAUAUGCUUUAAAUGCAAACCAGUCAUUACAAGGUACAGAAACCAGGAAAGGGCUGAGACAGCCCGGCUUUCUGUGUGUCGACCUCACAUUCAGCUCACUUUAAUUGGAGGCUUGGAACCAGAGUCCUCCAGGCCUCCUGCCUUCACUUCAGGGUUCCACUGCUUUUUAAAGGACUGCGAUGAUGAUGCUAUUCCCAAGAUGUAAAGGACCAUUCUGGUGCUGUCCUGACAGGGGAGCAGGUUUACAGCUCAGGACAGUGGUGGUGCCAUGGGGGCCUGGGGCAGGACAUGGCGGUGCCACGGGGGUGUGGGGAGGACAGUGGCGGUGCCAUGGGGGCCUGGGGCAGGACAGCGGUGGUGCCACGGGGGCCUAGGGGGUCCCCUUGUGCCUGCAUUCCUCCCUGUUGGGAGCUCUCAAGAAGCCCUGCACAGGGACAAAUGUUCUGGUAUUUGAGAGGCAAGGACCAGUCAGACAUUUCCAAAGAGGACACCAAAGAGCUUCUGCUGUACUCUAUUCCAAGUUAAAAAAAAUGAUCUUGGUCCAAAACUUGAUUAUAUGAUAGUAAAAAAAAAAAGCCACCACACACACACAAUAGAGGUGCUUGGGAGACAUUUUAGAAAUAUAUCAUUGAUGACCAAUUCUUAUAGGCUGAAUUAAGAAAAAAAUGAUAAAAUCUCUUUUAAAGUCUUCAGUCUCUGGACCCCUCUGGGGUGAGUUCGUGGAGCUGCUCCCUUUGACAGCCCCUGUGGGCCUGGAGGGCUGGGGUUUCUGGGGUAGGAUAGUGGAGCUGGCCGUGGUCCUGGCUCUCCUGCCCACCCCAGCCCCUCGUUCCCGCCCCCUCCUGACUGCAGCCACCAGUGCCGGCCAGUUCUUCCAGAGCUGCAGCAGCUCUGGUGGUCCUGUCCUUAUUCUGUGGAUUGAAGUACAUUUCUGGAAUCCAGGUUUUCAAAACGGAAUACGCUGUUUCUUGCAUGAGAAUACAGGAGCAGCCUUUCAUGGGCCAUCUCGCACAUUGGGCUUUUGUAUUCUUUUAUGAUGGUGUGAGGCAAGCCUGGCUAAUGUCUUCCAGCCUGUUCGUGUCCGCAUAGGGUAUGCGAUGAUGGGCUUCAGCGUCAGGCCAUGGGGCCCACUCUCCAGCUCUGCCACUUAUGGGCUCUGGAAGGUUACCUCAGCUGUUGAACUUGUGAGCUGUGACUUCCUCCUCUGCUAAAGCGGGACUCUCAUGCCUGGCUCACAGGUUCAGAUGUGAUGAUAGACAUAAAACACCUGGCCGGACUCUGGCCCAUGGAUGCUGAAAUUGGUUUUCUGAGGUGGUGGUGGGGGCAGGGAGGUAGUGGCGAUGGAAAUAGUGAUAAUGGUACUUGGUGGUGUCAUCCUGUUUGCUGGGAGCCUGCAGGUGGCUCAGGCGAACCCAGCACAGCCUUGUCCUCGGGUCCACUGCCCUCUCAGGUUCACAUCGUAAUGAGUUCAUUUGUCAUCCACACUAAAGACUGGUCUUCCAGAAGAUAUUCCUAAAUCAGGGCCCCUUCCUCCUGGCAUGCUGGGACGGCCCCUGCUGUUGCCCAGCUUUGCCUGGUAUUACAGAGAACCUCAGCCUCCUGGGCUCUUCCCCAGGCCUGACUUGGGUGAUGCCCGGAGUCCCAGCAGUGAGGGAACCGUGAUUGUGGGCCAGUCCCUCAUAGCCCUGGCGGGUUGCAGACUCAUUAAAGAAACACUCUUUUGCCUCCUGGCCCUGUGCCCCAUACAUCAGGGAGGACACAGGAGGAACCGAAGAUUGAGCCUGGGGAGAGCUGUCUCUGCGGUGCCUCUUCAGACACACGGGUAUCCCUUUGUAGGACAUGUUCUCAACAAGCACACAUGGCCUUAUAGGUGUUGGGAUGAUGGGGGCGUGCCUGCAGGUUGUAAAUUUCUUUUUGCCUUCAGAGCCACCAACACAUUGGUUUUCCUUUUGAUUUCAUCAGGAGAAUUCUGUUUCCUUGGCCGCCUGCACAUGGCUUGCCCUCCAUACUUGAGUGUGGACUGACUCUGCAGCCUAAGC
This is a long non-coding RNA of Sapajus apella (tufted capuchin), 5301 nucleotides long. RefSeq lists it as uncharacterized. The record is from RefSeq and is a predicted model, not a curated record. The transcript is spliced from 2 exons. Lineage: Eukaryota; Metazoa; Chordata; Mammalia; Primates; Cebidae.